UGAUAGGAGUGACAAGAGAGUUGAGAGAAGAGCGACCAUCGAGUAAGAUAGUGACAAUAACAAGCUUCUCAGUGAUUAAAGGCAGAGGAGAACCCUAUGAAUCCUCUGUUUUUGAGGCUGCUGGUUACAAAUGGUAAAGAUCUUACACUUUAUCAACUUUUUUUAUAAAAUAAUUAAUUCUAUUUUUUUUGAUA
RNAcentral lists this small RNA (194 nucleotides) under Arabidopsis thaliana (thale cress). RNAcentral describes it as "ATSL258430". Lineage: Eukaryota; Viridiplantae; Streptophyta; Magnoliopsida; Brassicales; Brassicaceae. The record is from RNAcentral.